Molecule: long non-coding RNA, 1185 nt
Organism: Columba livia (rock pigeon)
Lineage: Eukaryota; Metazoa; Chordata; Aves; Columbiformes; Columbidae
Exons: 8
Source: RefSeq, a predicted model, not a curated record
GCUGCCAUGGUGCACUCCCAAUGCAGGAGCUGGAGCAUCACCAGCAUGUGUGAGUUGGUGUUUGGAGGCCCAGACUGCGAGAGGGAAGCAGGGGAUAGAAUACUUCCCUAAGCCAGGGAAAGUGAGCUGGGAGUUUGAUGAAAUUCACACUGAAUGGCACCUCAAAGGCCCCUGCUAGGAUGGUCUCUGUGCUCCAGCACUGUCCUGGCUGAGCCUGAAUGCCUGCAGACCCAGUGGAGGGCUGCACUAACCUGGGAAGCAACCAGCAGACCUUGCUGAUCCAUUACACAUCCCUGGACUGACCCAGACAAAGGCAGUGUGAGAAGACCAACCUAUGAAGGGCAACUUCUGCAUCACUUGUGGAGGGCCCCAGGCUUAUUCAGAGUCCAGAGACAGACUUAAAAAUUCAACAGAGAGAAGAAACGUCCAAAAUAUUUUUUUCUUUUGAAGAAAAUGGCAGCUGUGAAAUUGAGCCAAGAGGACCAUGACCUUUUCAUUUUUCAGAUGCUUGGCAGCUGUGUCACUCCAGGUCGUGUCCUGCAGGAGAGGAUUCACACCUCCUUUAGGCUGGGAAUCCAUAAAGCCAGCUUGGCAGUUCAUUUGUAUUAAGUCAACCAUGACUCCAAAGCUGAUCCCUUGGAAAGCCCAAGUACAUGCACAACACCAGGCUUCACAUCUGCAAGCAUGCCAAGCACAUCAACCUCCUCCAACACAAACGGUUCAAGACUACAGUCAUCAGGAUAAAAAAAAAUAAAUACCAGAACUUCUCAACCACCUGCCACUGGGUUGUUGUCACCAAAACUAAUGGAAAGGAGGAACUGGCCAUUUUUGAUGCUGUGAUGGUUGGUGUCAGUCACCAGAUACAUCCAUGUGUCCUGCUGGAGUCCAUCUGAGGGUCUGGUGAAGCUGCCAGAGGUGAGAGAAGGCCUGCCAGCUGAUGUGACCUAGUGCAGUUCUUCAAUGCCUGUGCUGGCUCCUUGGCAAGGCUGUCCCUGGAGAGAAGCUGCAGAGGUGAUUCCCUGGUGUCCUGGGAUGCCAUCCCCUGCAGUACCAGGAGCAGAGGACCUUUGCACGCUGAUGUCUGUGGCCAUUUCACACUCUCCCAAUUUGCAUAGGGAGCCUCCUGUACAUGUGGUUAAUGGCAAAAUGCAGCCUCCAAGUCCCAUGAGCAGUGACCAGAAAACC